This 1014-nucleotide ribosomal RNA is filed under the name Marifugia cavatica. RNAcentral describes it as "eukaryotic LSU rRNA". It matches the Rfam family "Eukaryotic large subunit ribosomal RNA", at positions 76 to 879 of the family's 3401-position model. Lineage: Eukaryota; Metazoa; Annelida; Polychaeta; Sabellida; Serpulidae. The record is from RNAcentral.
UCCCCGAGUAACGGCGAGUGAAACGGGAAAAGCCCAGCCCUGAAGCCCCUGAUCCUAUGACCAGUGUGGCAAUGUGGGGUAUGGGAGUGCCCAUGCGAUUGCAUGGCCUGUCCAGGUUCUCCUGAUUGAGGCUUUUACCCAUAGCGGGUGCAAGGCCCAUAUGACGGGCUGCGUUGUUGCUAGGGUGCUCCCCGGAGUCGGGUUGCUUGAGAAUGCAGCCCAAAGUGGGUGGUAAAUUCCAUCUAAGGCUAAAUACAGGCACGAGACCGAUAGCAAACAAGUACCGUGAGGGAAAGUUGAAAAGCACUUUGAAGAGAGAGUUGGACAGUACGUGAAACCGCUUACAGGUAAACGGAUGGGACCGCAAUGUCGCCCACGGGUAUUCAGGUCGUCUGGACUGGCCAGUGACUGAUCAUAGGAGUUCUUUUGAACCCUGGGUCGGACGCGUGAUGUCUGUCUUGGCGGCUGCACUUACCUGUGCUGGCGAACACUUUCACCGCAUGCCGUUACAGGAAGAAGCUUCUCAGCAAGGUAACUUGUCGUCCUUGUGGCGCAAGAGCUUACAGGUUGGGAAUGAACUGACUGUAUGGUGUGCGAGGAGCUCGGGCCGCUGGCAAUGGCCCUAGUCGCUCUGCUGACAGUGACCGGCGAGGACUGUUUACAGUGCUCUGCCUACUAUUGUUGUGGAGGUCCGGCUAGGUGCCAGAGUUAGUGUGUUAGGGUUCAAAGUGCUGUCGGCACCCCAUCCGACCCGUCUUGAAACACGGACCAAGGAGUGCAGCGUGUGCGCAAGUCAAAGGGACCCACGAAUCCCCAUGGCGUAAUGAAAGUGAAGGGACCUCUUCUGGAGGACCCGUGGUGUGAUCCAGAGUCUUUGACGCUCUGGCGCAACACCGGCCCGCCUCGUGGGCUUUGUCCCUGAGGCGGCGCUUGAGCGCACAUGCUGCGACCCGAAAGAUGGCGAACUAUGCUCGAGUAGGUUGAAGUCAGAGGAAACUCUGAUGGAGGACCGUA